AAAAAAAAAAAGCAAACAAAAAAAUGUAAGUUAACAGUAAAGAAGGAAAAACAGGUGAAACACUGAGGCUUUGUGGAUGGAUACUCCCCUACCCCCAAUGCCUUGCAAUUGGUCAACUUAAAGGUAGCUGAGUUGGGUAAAGACUAAUUAGUUAUCCUCUUGAAGUCACUUGUAAUGGGAGGAAGGAAGGAAGGAGGGAAAAAGGGAAAGAGAGAGAAAAGGUGGGGGGGGGGAGAAGAAAUCUUCACAAAACGCAGAUAGCCUUGAAUGAAAAGUCAAGUUCAGAGUAUUUCUCACCAUCCUCCCACCUCUGUCACCUACUUUCUCUCUUCAUCCUGCAUUCCUCUACUGUAUUGCCUCCUCCAAAAACUUCCUUAACAGCCUACUUUAAAACUAACUGGAUGGGAGGAUCUUAGUUUGUAAUAUCAACCAUAAGGCAACAACAAAGGAAUGUGCUGCUGACUUGUAGUGUCUGUUUUUGUUUCAGGGAGUCCUCUUAACUUCUCAUCUUAAUAUUAACUAUGGUCCAGGAGGGUGAGGGCUCCGAACCGGGGCUGUGUGGGAAGCUCAGGAUGCCUCAUCCACACCUGCCCUCCUCUGCAGAUAAACACCCCUCACGGACUCCAAGGCCAUCCAUCUGGCACCUUUCAACAGCUUCCAAGUCUAAGAAAACAAACCCUUUAAAAAAUGGGUUUUUUAAAAAAAAACAAGAAAGCCUAAAGGGUGCAUUUUUUUGCUGGCUGCAACCGCUUUAACCAGAAUAAACAGCAUGGGGGAGUAAGAAAAGAGAAUGAAUGGGAGCAGAAUCCAGUUCCACAGUUAUAUAUCACACAUAUUACAUACCUAGAUUUACAAUUUUAUUAAUUUUCUCAUUUGUUCUUCAGAGAGUUAAUUUUUAGGGGGAGAACUAGAUAUCUUUCGGAUUACAAGAAGAGGCUUCUCAUCCUGGAAGAGGCGAUCAGACUUUCUGAAAUCUGUCCUUUCCUCCCUCUUUGGCUCAGCACAAGCACACACACACACAAACAAAACAACAACAAAAAAGAAGCCCCCCUUUUGGCCUUCAGAGAAGAAAUGUUCACAAACCCAUGAUUAUUCUGCCUGGUGAAUUUUAAUUCUUCGCAACUUGGAAUUUAAAUUCUAAAGAUGAGGAUACUGAUGCAUAAUAUUGAACUAUGCCUUCAAGAAGAUUGGUCAUCAAGAGUGUGGUGUUCCAGUGCCUUGAGGGUGACUGGUCAAGUGCAUUUAAAAGAUGUGGUUAUUUCUCACUUUUUGCUGUCUCCUCUGCCCAUCAGCUUGCCUUGGUUACUGCUUAUAGGUCCUAGCUGGAGAAUAAUGUGCUUCACAGUGUGAUUCUCAACCCAUCUGCACUUGAGUCAUCUGGAAUGAUUGAUGGAAAUAAGGAUUUUUAGUCCCAUCAUCAUGAAUCAGAAUUUCUAUGGUAAGCCAAGAAGUAUGCGCUUUAACAGGCUACCCAGGUUCUUAUGCAUACAGAGCUUGAGACCCAUUGCAUAGGAGGAGCAAUGAAUCCCAAGUACAAUCAUAUGUUUUUUGUUAAUACUCCAGGCACUACUAGUUCUCUGCUUAGCACAUGGAAGAUUCCCACUAAUUGCUUAUUGGAUUAAGGAAUGAAUAAAUCUAACUUUAGAAGGAAAUCCAGUCAUGGGAAAUCUUCCCUACUCUAAGGAAAUAUUUGCAAUUUUCACUAAAUGUGCCCAUAAUACCAAUUUCAAUUAAUUUAAUCCUCAUUCCUUCACAAGUUAAACUGCUUAAAUCUCCUUCGGAUUUUCCUUCUUCCUAAAAUAAUGUAGUUUUAAUUUACUUUGGUUGUGAUGAAAUAUCAUAUCAAAUUUAUUCCCAAACUCUCAAGGUGUUCUUUAAUUCAGUUUAGACCUCCUCCUGGGUAGUUUCCUCCAGUAAAAACUGGAAAAAAUACUGAAAUGAUUUUAUAAGCUAGGUAAACAUUGUUAUAGAGACCACUAAUAUUCUAACAUAUCAUUAAUUCAACAAAUAUUUACUGUACUUAAACAUUCAGAUUAUCACAAGCAGUACAAGAAACCUGUGAUUUUCUGUUGCUCCCUGGGAAUAUUAAUAUUUUGACCUGUAUUCAAUUAGGUUUGGAAGCCUUUUUUCUUUUGCUCCCUAGCUGCAGCCUGUUUAAGGCUGAGUGACUCUAGGUAGAUGCCUUGGAUGGCUGACUUUAAGAGACCUCUAAUUCAUAGAGCUUCUAUCAGCAUAACUCAUUAACACCCCAGCUUCCAUUCUAUGCCUUUCUAGUAGAGGUUGCCUUGAUCUCUUUGCUAACCUUACUUUGGUUCUGAACAUAUGAAAUGAAUAACGGAGCAAAGGUGAUGUAACUAAUCUCUAAAUAUGCUACAGCUUUUAAUCUUUACAAUGAUCUUGUGAGGAAGACAAUUCCUUCUCAUAUUAUAGAAGAGAUACUUGAGGCUAAUAAUGAUUAUAUAAUUAGACUAAGUCAUAUAGCAGAAAAAGGUGCAGAGCCAGGACUCAAUUUCCCAUUUCUUUCCUCGGCUCAUCUACUUUCUACUACCAUGUUGCUUCCUCACUUUACUU
This is a long non-coding RNA of Sus scrofa (pig), 2571 nucleotides long. RefSeq lists it as uncharacterized. The record is from RefSeq and is a predicted model, not a curated record. NCBI's taxonomy places the organism in Eukaryota, Metazoa, Chordata, Mammalia, Artiodactyla, Suidae.